UACGAAGGGGGCUAGCGUUGCUCGGAAUCACUGGGCGUAAAGCGCACGUAGGCGGCUUCUUAAGUCAGGGGUGAAAUCCUGGAGCUCAACUCCAGAACUGCCCUUGAUACUGAGGAGCUCGAGUCCGGAAGAGGUGAGUGGAACUGCGAGUGUAGAGGUGAAAUUCGUAGAUAUUCGCAAGAACACCAGUGGCGAAGGCGGCUCACUGGUCCGGUACUGACGCUGAGGUGCGAAAAGCGUGGGGAGCAAACAGGG
Molecule: ribosomal RNA, 255 nt
Filed under: uncultured bacterium
Lineage: Bacteria
Description: partial 16S ribosomal RNA
Rfam family: Bacterial small subunit ribosomal RNA
Source: RNAcentral